GACGAACGCUGGCGGCGUGCUUAACACAUGCAAGUCGAACGGUAAGGCCCUUCGGGGUACACGAGUGGCGAACGGGUGAGUAACACGUGGGUGAUCUGCCCUGCACUUCGGGAUAAGCCUGGGAAACUGGGUCUAAUACCGGAUAGGACCACUGCCUGCAUGGGGGGUGGUGGAAAGCUUUUGCGGUGUGGGAUGGGCCCGCGGCCUAGCAGCUUGUUGGUGGGGUGAUGGCCUACCAAGGCGACGACGGGUAGCCGGCCUGAGAGGGUGACCGGCCACACUGGGACUGAGAUACGGCCCAGACUCCUACGGGAGGCAGCAGUGGGGAAUAUUGCGCAAUGGGCGGAAGCCUGACGCAGCGACGCCGCGUGGGGGAUGACGGCCUUCGGGUUGUAAACCUCUUUCAGCAGGGACGAAGCCGUGAGGUGACGGUGCCUGCAGAAGAAGCACCGGCCAACUACGUGCCAGCCGCCGCGGUAA
Molecule: ribosomal RNA, 480 nt
Filed under: uncultured bacterium
Lineage: Bacteria
Description: partial 16S ribosomal RNA
Rfam family: Bacterial small subunit ribosomal RNA
Source: RNAcentral